GUGGGGAAUAUUGGACAAUGGGCGAAAGCCUGAUCCAGCCAUGCCGCGUGUGUGAAGAAGGUCUUCGGAUUGUAAAGCACUUUAAGUUGGGAGGAAGGGCAGUAAGUUAAUACCUUGCUGUUUUGACGUUACCGACAGAAUAAGCACCGGCUAACUCUGUGCCAGCAGCCGCGGUAAUACAGAGGGUGCAAGCGUUAAUCGGAAUUACUGGGCGUAAAGCGCGCGUAGGUGGUUCGUUAAGUUGGAUGUGAAAGCCCCGGGCUCAACCUGGGAACUGCAUCCAAAACUGGCGAGCUAGAGUAUGGUAGAGGGUGGUGGAAUUUCCUGUGUAGCGGUGAAAUGCGUAGAUAUAGGAAGGAACACCAGUGGCGAAGGCGACCACCUGGACUGAUACUGACACUGAGGUGCGAAAGCGUGGGGAGCAAACAGGAUUAGAUACCCGUGUAGUCC
This 450-nucleotide ribosomal RNA is filed under the name uncultured bacterium. RNAcentral describes it as "bacterial SSU rRNA". It matches the Rfam family "Bacterial small subunit ribosomal RNA", at positions 354 to 796 of the family's 1533-position model. The record is from RNAcentral.